UGGGGAAUUUUGGACAAUGGGCGAAAGCCUGAUCCAGCAAUGCCGCGUGUGUGAAGAAGGCCUUCGGGUUGUAAAGCACUUUUGUCCGGAAAGAAAUCCUUGGCUCUAAUACAGUCGGGGGAUGACGGUACCGGAAGAAUAAGCACCGGCUAACUACGUGCCAGCAGCCGCGGUAAUACGUAGGGUGCAAGCGUUAAUCGGAAUUACUGGGCGUAAAGCGUGCGCAGGCGGUUUGCUAAGACCGAUGUGAAAUCCCCGGGCUCAACCUGGGAACUGCAUUGGUGACUGGCAGGCUAGAGUAUGGCAGAGGGGGGUAGAAUUCCACGUGUAGCAGUGAAAUGCGUAGAGAUGUGGAGGAAUACCGAUGGCGAAGGCAGCCCCCUGGGCCAAUACUGACGCUCAUGCACGAAAGCGUGGGGAGCAAACAGGAUUAGAUACCCUGGUGAGUCCACGCCCUAAACGAUGUCAACUAGUUGUUGGGGAUUCAUUUCCUUAGUAACGUAGCUAACGCGUGAAGUUGACCGCCUGGGGAGUACGGUCGCAAGAUUAAAACUUAAAGGAAUUGACGGGGUCAUAGCUGUUUCCU
Molecule: ribosomal RNA, 586 nt
Filed under: uncultured bacterium
Lineage: Bacteria
Description: partial 16S ribosomal RNA
Rfam family: Bacterial small subunit ribosomal RNA
Source: RNAcentral